UAAGUUGACUGUGCCUUUAAACAGCUUGGAAAAUUCCAGACAAUGAUGUCAUGGCUUUAGAAGCUUCUGAUAGGCUAAUAACAUAAUUUUGACUCAAUUGGAGGUGUACCUGUGGAUGUAUUUCAAGGCCUAUACCUUCAAACUCUGCUUCUUGGCUUGACAUCAUGGGAAAAUGUAAAGAAAUCAGCCAAGACCUCCAGAAAAAAGCAAACUGUAAACCAAUCAAAACUGGUUUUCUGCCAAUCACAUUAUCCGUACCUAUAAGGUAGUCGACAGUUGGUGACAACUCGAGAGAGAUCUCCAUCUGACAAACUGCUAUCAGAUCCUCUCAAGCUGAACCUUCACCUCAAGGUGAACCUUCGCCCCAGUCUGAGGUCCUGAGAACUCUGGAGCAGAUUUUCAUCAAGAAUCUCUCUGUACUUUGCUCCGUUUAUCUUUCCCUUGAUCCUGACUAGUCUCCCAGUCCCUGCCUCUGAAAAACAUCCCCACAGCAUGAUGCUGCCACCACCAUGCUUCACCGUAGGGAUGGUGCCAGGUUUCCUCCAGACGUGAUGCUUGGCUUUCAGGCCAAAGAGUUCAAUCUUGGUUUCACCAGAACAGGGAAUAUUCUUUCUCAUGGUCUUGAGUCCUUUCGGUGCCUUUUGACAAAUUGCAAGUGGGUUGUUAUGUGCCCUUUACUGAGGAGUGGCUUCCAUCUGGCCACUCUACCAUAAAGGUCUGAUUGGUGGAGUGCUGCAGAGAUGGUUGUCCUUCUGGAAGCUUCUCCCAUCUCCACAGAGGACCUCUGGAGCUCUGUCAGAGUGACCAACGGGUUCUUGUUCACCAACCUGACUAAGGCUCUUCUCCCCUGAUUGCUCAGUUUGGCCGAGCGGCCAGCUCUAGGAAGAGUCUUGGUGGUUCCAAACUUCUUCCAUUUCAGAAUGACGGAGGCCACUGUGUUCUUGGGGACCUUCAAUGCUGCAGAAAUGUUUUGGUACCCUUCCCCAGAUCUGUGCCUCGACACAAUCCUGUCUCAGAGCUCUACGCACAAUUCCUUUGACCUCAUGGCUUGGUUUUUGCUCUGACAUGCACUGUCAACUGUGAGACCUUAUAUAGACAGGUGCCUUUCCAAAUCACGUCCAAUCAAUUGAAUUUACCACAGAUGGACUCCAAUCAAGUUGUGGAAACUUCUCAAGGAUGAUCAAUGGAAUCAGGAUGCAACUGAGCUGAAUUUUGUGUCUCAUAGCAAAGGGUCUGAAUACUUAUGUAAAUAAGGUUCUUCUGUUUUUAUUUUGUAUAAAUUUGCAAAUGUUUAUACAAACCUGUUUUCACUUUGUUAUUAUGGGGUAUUGUGAUGUCAUUAUGGGGUAUUGUGAUGUCAUUAUGGGGUAUUGUGAUGUCAUUAUGGGGUAGUGUAUAUAGAUUGAUGAGGAAAACAAUGAAUUCAAUCCAUUUUAGAAUAAGGGUGUAACAUAAACAAAAUGUUGAGAAAGGAAGGGGUCUGAAUACUUUCUGAAUGCGCUGUACAUUGGUUUGUAGGUACUUCCUUUGCUAUUUGUCUCUGUACUCAAUAAAUGGUCAAACACCA
This is a long non-coding RNA of Oncorhynchus keta (chum salmon), 1567 nucleotides long. RefSeq lists it as uncharacterized. The record is from RefSeq and is a predicted model, not a curated record. Lineage: Eukaryota; Metazoa; Chordata; Actinopteri; Salmoniformes; Salmonidae. The transcript is spliced from 2 exons.